CCUCCGCAAUUACUACUCGCAGGGUGUUGGCGUGAUUGCAAGAGCCAUGAUCGAGUUUGAGAACCCUCAGCUCCCUGCAGCUUUCAGAGAGGCCGUCAGCAUUGUCCAGAGUGAGAAGGAGGAGGAGCAGAGAAAUAUCGCCAUGACUUUCUGCACUGAGUUUCUUCAGAGUGCUUCUAUUGCCACGACAGUGACAAAAUCAGACCUCCGGGCGCAGUUCAUGGAGUAGAUCAAAGACACAAAUCCCAUCAUACGCAGGCUCAGUCUACGGGGCCUUGGCA
Molecule: long non-coding RNA, 281 nt
Organism: Mauremys reevesii (Reeves's turtle)
Lineage: Eukaryota; Metazoa; Chordata; Testudines; Geoemydidae
Exons: 3
Source: RefSeq, a predicted model, not a curated record